CGGGCCAGCGCAUUGCGCCCAGCGCCGGCCUUUCCCCGGGCCUGCGAGGCGGCCGUGGGCAUCUCCUGACUCCUGCGUCCCGCAGCCCUCGGCUCAAGCGGGUUUUGAUUUGGGGGUGGGGGCUCCCGGCCUGGCAGCUGAGUAUUUCUAACGGCUGCACCUCAGGAGGAUAAAUCAGUUCUGAAAUUUAUCUGUACCUCGCCCUUGGGCUCCGAUGUUAAUAGACUUCCCUUGGCAGAAGCACUGCUUCCCCGCGCCAGGGCUGCAGAGAAACCCCAAAUGGGCCCCCGCGGGGGACAGCCCACAAAUCUCCACACAGCACGCUGCUCCAGGAGGGCCUGGGGGCUGCCCCGGACACCCGGCGGCCGCUUCUCCGCGAGGGACAUUCAGGGAUCUCCGCGUCGGAAGGAACCGGAGCAGUCAUUUCAAAAGGCCUCCCGAGGGCACACGAGUGGACCCUGCGACACAAACCACCCCACCGUGGACCCCGGCGUCCUGCCGAGGAGCCGGAGCCGGCCCGCGGGCGCCACGUCCUCUGCGCUGGCAGUGACUGAGCGAAGACGGGCACUGGCCGGACGCUGCCGUCCAGGAGCUCUGUAGUGUUCUAGACUAGAUCAGUAAAACGUACAUGUGUUUCAUCGACAGCCUUGCUAAUCACCUUUUAAUGUUGUACUUCGUGCUAGGAGAAAAAAAUUUGCAAUAAGAUUAUGAUGUCGCGUGUCUGCAGCUGAGUAGCUGAGGACAUUUACACUUUUGUUUCUCAUAAUAUCUUUUUAUGUACAGCCCAUGUUAAAAGCAGUUUCUAUCAGAAGCAGACUAGGCUAUUUCUACUUCUCCCAGGAUAUUAUUGUUUUAAUGUAGAAUACUUGGCACCAUAAAACGGUAACAAAAGACAGACAAAACAGUUUACAAAAUUCUUAAAAGGUACACCCAGGCCUUGCCAUAAAUGUCCCAUUCUGGUCUUAAUGCAGCGCGGACGGAGGGGAGGGGCAGGGGGCCAGCGUGGACGCUGGAGGGCACGGGUGCCCGCGGUCGGUGGCGCUGCCGGGUCAGACAGUCCGUCGUAGAAAUCGGGCUUGACAUCCACGCGAGGGUCCCUGCAGGGUGCUCUCGAGUGUUCAUACUGGAAAGUGUAUCUAGCAUACGUUUUGGUACGGUUUAUAAAUUAUUUUAAAAAGUAUAUAUUUAUAUAUAUUUAUAUCUAUAAAAAUGGAAAGCAGCUGCAGUGUGCUCAACCAUGCAACGUGGCAGUAGAGGGGACAGCAUG
This 1267-nucleotide long non-coding RNA is filed under the name Dasypus novemcinctus (nine-banded armadillo). Its description in RNAcentral is "lncRNA (ENSDNOG00000052808.1)". The record is from RNAcentral. Lineage: Eukaryota; Metazoa; Chordata; Mammalia; Cingulata; Dasypodidae.